GUUUUCUUUGUCUUUUUUUCUUCUACUAUGAAUUGGGAAUUGCAGAGCAGUCGUUUCUGAAUGAAGACGUUUCACUCCAACAUUUUGGCUUGCCUUGAGUGCAUUGAGUGAAGAGGAAUUGUCCUUGGCCACCUAUAACAUCUAUAAUUGGUUAAUGCAUCUUUGCAAUCACCUGAGCCUGUGGAAACCUCAUAUCUCAACAUACAUGACCUGAUUCUCAACCUCGUGGUCUACAUCCAUGCUAAGGAACACCAGCCCCACUGCCAGCUCUGGGCACUCAGCUCAGCCUUGCUGACUCCUGUUGCCUUCUCUUCACUUUGGGAAUUGAUUUUCCUGCCAAGGCAACCCAAGAUGAUGAGGCAGAAGCUAUGGCAGCAUUGUUCUCAUCCUGAGAGCCAAGGCUGGAUGUGUUCCUCCUGACACUGCCCUGAAGGAGACAGUGGGAGUGCCAGAGCAGUGCUGUCACCUGCCCCGGGUCUGUGGUGACAGUAAAUCUCCCAUGGAGAGCUCCUCCUGGGGCAGGACCAGAGCAGCCAUUCGGCACUGCUGUCUGUCGCUCCUUGCUUUUGCAGAGGUGAAUGAGGACUUGAUUCCAAACCAGCCUGCUGACAUAUUGUGAGCCCUUCGUUCCUUGAGUCUGUCCCAGUGGGGACCAUGGAGCCUGGGCUGGCUGCUGGCUGCUCUUUGGCCCAUGGGAGUCCUCACGAAAGAAAGGCAGGAGUAUCUUUCUUAUGCGUGCUGCUCACAGUGUUGUCCACAACUGGCCAAAAUCCAUGGAGAGAGGCAAUAGUUUUGCUAGCCCAGAUGGAAGUUCUUUCCUUGGGACACACAGAAACUCUUGCUUGUAGCGUUACACCAGCCUAGCUACACUACUACUUCUCUCAUUCCCAUCAAAUCCUUCUGAUGCUGGACCAGAGAAGAAGCCCCUGAGACAUAAUACAAAGGUGAGCUUAGCUCCUUCUUAACUGCAUGGUCAGUCACUGGCACAGGCUGCCCAGGGAAGUGGUGGAGUCCUCAUGCCUGGAGGUGUUUGAGAACUGUGGAGAUGUGGCACAUGGAGACAUGGUCAGUGAGUAUGGUGGGGGUAAGUUGGUGUUGGAUUUGGUGAUUUAGUGGUCUUUUCCAACCUUAACGAUUCUAUAUACACAGAAUGAUUCUAUACACAUCAUCAGGAUUGAUGGUCGUAUUUGUAAAUCUAACCCUUAUUAAAUGUUCAAAUAAAGGCUACAAUAUGCUUGGUACACAACCCUACAGGUCUUCCAGGAGAGCACUACUCUGCUGAGCCUGCUAGACUUCCAUCCUGCCCUCUCUGGCUUGAUCACACAACUGACGCAAAUGCCAGUAAGAAACAAGUGAAAAAGUUAGUAGAAAAAAAAAGAAAAUUAAAAAAAUGUGAAUUAUUCAGGUUUAUAUCAGAGAGGAAUCAGCAGAGUGCAGUGAAAUUGGAGUGUCAGAGGAGAGAGCAGCAGAAAAGCAUGAGUGUGUUUCUCUGUAUAUGACAUAAAGAGGUUGCAAGGGACUCCUAUGGGACUCUUUUUGGGAAUAUGAAGUCUGGACAAAAUAAUGUA
Molecule: long non-coding RNA, 1568 nt
Organism: Centrocercus urophasianus (Greater sage-grouse)
Lineage: Eukaryota; Metazoa; Chordata; Aves; Galliformes; Phasianidae
Exons: 4
Source: RefSeq, a predicted model, not a curated record